RNAcentral lists this ribosomal RNA (1520 nucleotides) under Salmonella enterica subsp. enterica serovar Infantis. RNAcentral describes it as "bacterial SSU rRNA". It matches the Rfam family "Bacterial small subunit ribosomal RNA". Lineage: Bacteria; Pseudomonadati; Pseudomonadota; Gammaproteobacteria; Enterobacterales; Enterobacteriaceae. The record is from RNAcentral. RNAcentral also lists the same sequence under 2 other names.
AGAGUUUGAUCAUGGCUCAGAUUGAACGCUGGCGGCAGGCCUAACACAUGCAAGUCGAACGGUAGCACAGAGAGCUUGCUCUCGGGUGACGAGUGGCGGACGGGUGAGUAAUGUCUGGGAAACUGCCUGAUGGAGGGGGAUAACUACUGGAAACGGUGGCUAAUACCGCAUAACGUCGCAAGACCAAAGAGGGGGACCUUCGGGCCUCUUGCCAUCAGAUGUGCCCAGAUGGGAUUAGCUUGUUGGUGAGGUAACGGCUCACCAAGGCGACGAUCCCUAGCUGGUCUGAGAGGAUGACCAGCCACACUGGAACUGAGACACGGUCCAGACUCCUACGGGAGGCAGCAGUGGGGAAUAUUGCACAAUGGGCGCAAGCCUGAUGCAGCCAUGCCGCGUGUAUGAAGAAGGCCUUCGGGUUGUAAAGUACUUUCAGCGGGGAGGAAGGUGUUGUGGUUAAUAACCGCAGCAAUUGACGUUACCCGCAGAAGAAGCACCGGCUAACUCCGUGCCAGCAGCCGCGGUAAUACGGAGGGUGCAAGCGUUAAUCGGAAUUACUGGGCGUAAAGCGCACGCAGGCGGUCUGUCAAGUCGGAUGUGAAAUCCCCGGGCUCAACCUGGGAACUGCAUUCGAAACUGGCAGGCUUGAGUCUUGUAGAGGGGGGUAGAAUUCCAGGUGUAGCGGUGAAAUGCGUAGAGAUCUGGAGGAAUACCGGUGGCGAAGGCGGCCCCCUGGACAAAGACUGACGCUCAGGUGCGAAAGCGUGGGGAGCAAACAGGAUUAGAUACCCUGGUAGUCCACGCCGUAAACGAUGUCUACUUGGAGGUUGUGCCCUUGAGGCGUGGCUUCCGGAGCUAACGCGUUAAGUAGACCGCCUGGGGAGUACGGCCGCAAGGUUAAAACUCAAAUGAAUUGACGGGGGCCCGCACAAGCGGUGGAGCAUGUGGUUUAAUUCGAUGCAACGCGAAGAACCUUACCUGGUCUUGACAUCCACAGAAGAAUCCAGAGAUGGAUUUGUGCCUUCGGGAACUGUGAGACAGGUGCUGCAUGGCUGUCGUCAGCUCGUGUUGUGAAAUGUUGGGUUAAGUCCCGCAACGAGCGCAACCCUUAUCCUUUGUUGCCAGCGGUCCGGCCGGGAACUCAAAGGAGACUGCCAGUGAUAAACUGGAGGAAGGUGGGGAUGACGUCAAGUCAUCAUGGCCCUUACGACCAGGGCUACACACGUGCUACAAUGGCGCAUACAAAGAGAAGCGACCUCGCGAGAGCAAGCGGACCUCAUAAAGUGCGUCGUAGUCCGGAUUGGAGUCUGCAACUCGACUCCAUGAAGUCGGAAUCGCUAGUAAUCGUGGAUCAGAAUGCCACGGUGAAUACGUUCCCGGGCCUUGUACACACCGCCCGUCACACCAUGGGAGUGGGUUGCAAAAGAAGUAGGUAGCUUAACCUUCGGGAGGGCGCUUACCACUUUGUGAUUCAUGACUGGGGUGAAGUCGUAACAAGGUAACCGUAGGGGAACCUGCGGUUG